CAAGGAAUAUUGCACAAUGGGGGGAACCCUGAUGCAGCAACGCCGCGUGGGCGAUGAAGGCCUUCGGGUUGUAAAGCCCUUUUCUAGAGGAAGAGACAAGGACGGUACUUUAGGAAUAAGUCUCGGCUAACUACGUGCCGGCAGCCGCGGUAAAACGUAGGAGACGAGCGUUAUCCGGAUUUACUGGGCGUAAAGGGCAAGUAGGCGGUAAGCAAAGUUGGGCGUGACAUCUCUCGGCUUAACUGGGAGGGGUCGUCCAAAACUAGCUAACUAGAGGGCAGGAGAGGGGAGUGGAAUUCCUAGUGUAGCGGUGGAAUGCUUAGAUAUUAGGAAGAACACCAGUGGCGAAGGCGACUCUCUGGCCUGACCCUGACGCUGAGAGGCGAAAGCUAGGGGAGCGAACGG
Molecule: ribosomal RNA, 405 nt
Filed under: uncultured bacterium
Lineage: Bacteria
Description: bacterial SSU rRNA
Rfam family: Bacterial small subunit ribosomal RNA
Source: RNAcentral